Molecule: ribosomal RNA, 485 nt
Filed under: uncultured bacterium
Lineage: Bacteria
Description: bacterial SSU rRNA
Rfam family: Bacterial small subunit ribosomal RNA
Source: RNAcentral
AUUGAACGCUGGCGGCAUGCCUUACACAUGCAAGUCGAACGGUAACAGGGAGCUUGCUCCGCUGACGAGUGGCGAACGGGUGAGUAAUGUAUCGGAACGUACCAUUCAGUGGGGGAUAACGUAGCGAAAGUUACGCUAAUACCGCAUAUUCUGUGAGCAGGAAAGCAGGGGAGUCGCAAGACCUUGCGCUGAUUGAGCGGCCGAUAUCAGAUUAGCUAGUUGGUGAGGUAAAGGCUCACCAAGGCGACGAUCUGUAGCGGGUCUGAGAGGAUGAUCCGCCACACUGGAACUGAGACACGGUCCAGACUCCUACGGGAGGCAGCAGUGGGGAAUUUUGGACAAUGGGGGCAACCCUGAUCCAGCCAUGCCGCGUGAGUGAAGAAGGCCUUCGGUUGUAAAGCUCUUUCGGCCGGGAAAAUACGCAUCAGUUAAUACCUGGUGUGGAUGAUGGUACCGGAAGUAAGAAGACACCGGCUAACUACGUG